GCACUUCUGAAGAGUCUCAUAAUAGGACGAAACGGCCGUCCAGUGC
Non-coding RNA from Schistosoma mansoni, 46 nucleotides. Lineage: Eukaryota; Metazoa; Platyhelminthes; Trematoda; Strigeidida; Schistosomatidae. The record is from Rfam.